UCAAUUGAAGCUACUGCGAAUUUCGAUUUCCAACCUUUUCUUGAUGACGGCAAUGGAUUCGGCGGAUUUCGGAGCUCGCGGAUGCGAAACAGGUGCAGCAAACGACUUCAGGAGAUGAAUGAUGAUACUCUUGCAGCUCGAAAAUCUCCAACUCGCACCGAUUCUUGGACUGUUAUGGAAGUUGCAGAUUGAUUCUACCGAUGCAAAUUGCGAAUGAUUCUUGAAUUUUCCUGCAAACAGAAACUUCACAAUAGCUAACAAUGAUGAAUAUGCAGAGAAUUAUCCCAAAGAUCCAUCCAAAUUGGUCAAUUGAUGCAAAAUGUUAUUGAAGUUUUUUUUUGAGCAAAAUUGAGAGAGAAGAGAGAAUUUCAGUUUUUU
This 378-nucleotide long non-coding RNA is filed under the name Lathyrus oleraceus (garden pea). RNAcentral's name for it is "Pisum sativum (pea) long non-coding RNA (PSAT_LNC000794)". Lineage: Eukaryota; Viridiplantae; Streptophyta; Magnoliopsida; Fabales; Fabaceae. The record is from RNAcentral.